RNAcentral lists this transfer RNA (74 nucleotides) under Erysipelotrichaceae bacterium. Its description in RNAcentral is "tRNA-Asn". It matches the Rfam family "tRNA". Rfam says of the family: Transfer RNA (tRNA) molecules are approximately 80 nucleotides in length. Their secondary structure includes four short double-helical elements and three loops (D, anti-codon, and T loops). Further hydrogen bonds mediate the characteristic L-shaped molecular structure. tRNAs have two regions of fundamental functional importance: the anti-codon, which is responsible for specific mRNA codon recognition, and the 3' end, to which the tRNAs corresponding amino acid is attached (by aminoacyl-tRNA synthetases). tRNAs cope with the degeneracy of the genetic code in two manners: having more than one tRNA (with a specific anti-codon) for a particular amino acid; and 'wobble' base-pairing, i.e. permitting non-standard base-pairing at the 3rd anti-codon position. Lineage: Bacteria; Bacillati; Bacillota; Erysipelotrichia; Erysipelotrichales; Erysipelotrichaceae. The record is from RNAcentral.
UGCUUAGCUCAGUCGGUUAGAGCACUUGACUGUUAAUCAAGGUGUCGCCUGUUCGAGUCAGGCAGCGGGCGCCA